GAUCGAUGAAGCCAGGCAUCAUCAGUGCUGUAGCGGCGCGCCGUGAGCCUGCCCUCCCACCCUCCGAUCAGCUUGCGGCUUCGUUCCUAUCUCACAAGCACGCACACGCACACCUCCUCAAAGACCUGCUGCCAUAACGCCGGGCAGCGCACGCGCAUAAGCACCCACACCUUCAGCAUAGAUAGACCAGCACACGCACACACACAGGGAAAGAUAGACGCUUUCUCGCGGCAUGCGCGACGACGUUGUUGACGUUCCCAGCAGCGCAGCGUCACUGCUCGAAGCCGCAAAGAAGUGGCUCGCAUGUACUCCGUGGGAGGCCCCUCAAGGCGCAGCCGGUGAGCCCACCGCAGCAACGGUGCUGUGUGAGCUUGUGGAGCUCAGUCGGCUGCGGCAUCUCCUUUACACUGCGACAGCGCGGCGUGCAGAGCAACAACCGGCACCCUACGGAACUGAGAGCCCGUCCGCCUCUCCGAAGGCGGCCGACGACAGUGCAGAAGCAUCUAGCAACAUUGAUGCGCUGCGCCGUGGCCGACAGCAGCACACCUCCUCGCCUUGCCCAACGCCGACCAGUAACGCGCAGAUGACCCGCACGGCAGUGCGGCAGCGCUUUAAACAGCUGCUCAAGCGCAGCAGCGCCUCCGUGCAGGCGCUUUACCGUGCCACGCGCAAAACAGACUUGAUCCUGUCGUCGAAGACCUCCAAGGCUACAAGCACGGCGCCAGCGGCGCCGACAUCCUUUGCGUGCGUUGCGGACAUCGACGCUGCCGACGUGUUCUGGGCACUCGUCCUGUACGUGUCGGCUGCUCUCUGCUGGAGACAGCGUCGCUUCCUCGCGGCGCAGCGCCGCGCAGACGCCUGCGUUGAAGACGUGGUGAGCAGCUCCCGAGACACAUCAGAGAGCCACCCACUGCGGCCGCACGUAUCAUCGCAACCGUCGCGGCAGGAGAGCGCGCACUCAUCGCUGAGCUCCACCGUCGACUACUUCACCGGUCACACGCCACGCGAUACAGCGGCACGUCACGGCGCUGGCGGUGGAGCAGGAGCGGACUUCUCUUCUGCGCUGCGGUCACACUACGCGCUUGGUAAGACUGCGGCCGACAACGCGCCGUUCAGUCGCUGCCGUAGAGUCCUUGAGCGCUUGCUACCGCUGCUGGAAAGUCGCUUGUCUGAGGCGCAGCUGUGGCGCCAGCCGUCGCUUCUCGCGGCUCUUGAUGUGCUUGCGCGAGGCUUCGCGAUGGCUGAGGGCCGUGUGCAUGCUUUAUCCUCGCGAAGUGGCAUGGGCACGGCUGCGCGGUGUCCGCUGUGCUACGCUGCGGCGCUGGACAACGAGCUUGCGGUGGAAGCGUUCCUGCACCUUCGCUGCUACGCUGCCGCCUAUCAAGGCGCAGAGGAUGUCGCUGAAGAUGCAGGAGCCCAGCACGGGCGGCAGCGAGGAGAGACUCGAAACGGCUUUGAUAGAGCUGAGCUGAGCUCGUGUGAAGUCGGAUGGGUAGCUGCGUGUCGCAUCGCGUUGUGGAACAACUGUCGAGCCUCGCUGAUGCGGCUGUGCUGCCCACCCUUGUUCUGCACAGCCACGUGGUGGCCUCAUCAAGAGGCAUGCGAACGGGCGCGGUGCAGGCGAUAUGCGCUUCUCGAGGCUCUUUGGAUCAGCUGGUGGCGAGCGGAGACAUGGCUGGCCUCUGGCCCUUCUUCCCCCGAGAUCACAAGCACGAGGGCCGCAAUUUCCAGGGACGCGGCGGCGCGCUGGCGCAGCGCACUACUGUUCAUGCAAGUUGUACUACCCGCUGCUGAAGCCGCAGCGCGUGAGCCCGGUGCCGAGGACUGUGGUGUCGAGGGUGGUGCGGCAGAGAAACACCCGAACUCGCAGCGCGCCAACCUCCGCGCGCUCCUCGCCCACCUCGUUCAGUUGCCGAUCGUGACCGAACUCAUGCAGCAAGUGUUGCGGCCCCACCAAGAUGAGAAGUGCGAGCGCAUCCACACCGCUGGCGCCCGCAACUGCGGCGCCUCCGGCACGGUGUUUCACUGGCUCUCGCAACAAGGAGAUGUGCCGUUGCUGACCCUUCUCUGUCAUACGCUCGACGGUCGCACCGCAGCGAUAACGGCAGGCAAAGCCCCCGUGGGGAGGCCCGCUGCCGCCGCGGAAGCAGCUGCCGGGCACGCCGAUCGAGCGUACAUCAUCCAACUUGGCGCUGCGCAUGCGAGGGGCGAAAGCGUCGGUGACUAUCGCCGCCACAGAGCAGCUUUACCGGCACCAGAAGCAGCAGCAAGCGGUGCGGUGGCGUCCAUUGGUGGGCCGGUGAGCCAACCAGCCCCCACAGACCCGGGUCGUGGCUUGUGCAGCUCAGUCUCCGUCUGGGGCUUACACUUGAUGGACACCCUCGGCCAAAAUGCCCUUGACGUGGCGUGCAGGCGUCAACAUCUGCCGUGUGUGCGCCUCCUGCUGCAGGCGGGGCUCUCACCGAACUCUCUCGCAACCCUCGUCUCUGACAAGUGCGUCGACUCGCUGCCGCUGCCGUUGCUCAGGCUGCUCUACGACCCCUCCUUUCUUGAAGGAGCGGACGGCAGCCGGAGUACGCCGCACAUGGGACUGGCGGAGCGGCUGCGGCAGCCGACUUGCCCCGCCGCGGCUGCCUCUCGCACCCUUGCGCAGCUCGCGUUCCGGCUGUGGACAGAGAAAGUGCAGCAGCUGUCGAUGGUGCCGCAAGCAGCUGAUGGCGAGGGUUUCGCGUUGGACCAGUGGCUCAGUGCCUACACGCGGUGUCAAGCGGCCCAGGAUCGUGUCUUGCGGUCAGCGAUGGCAGCGCUGGAGUUCGACGCGUACGAGCCCAUGGCCCGUCUCGUCGUGUUGUCUGUGCUGACGCGCAAGCUGAACGACUGGUUGGCCACCGCGCCGUCGUCCGUGCGCUUUGGUGCGAGCGAUUCGCCGGUCGGCACCAGCGGCAGCGUGCGAGGUGACGCAGCGUCGAGUAGGUCCUCCCCCACCGUUUCACAGCCGCAGCCAGCGCCACCCUCCCUUUGGCAGCUGCGGCUGCAGCACACGGUCGCGCUGCGGCUGUACACGCAGCUCACAUGCCCACUUGGCCGCGCGCUGCUGCGCCGUGCUGUCGACGCGCGGUGUGCCGUGUGUGACGCCCUUGCAGCACGAGAGGACAGAGCAGCAUCUGCGCUCCUCGCUGCCUCUGCCGUUAUGUCUGCUCCGUCCACUGCGGAGGCGGCCAGUGUCGGGGACGAGGGUGCCGAGGUUGCGAAGAGGGACGCGGUGGUGUUGUCUCCUGAAGCGUCCGUGCCGCUGCCUCCAGGGGCCUCGUCGCUGGCGCUAUCGGAACCCGUCAAGUCGCGCCAGGAAUUGCAAGGCCUCUACGAGCGCGUGCUUGCGGACGCACACACGCUCGACGCACGUCUUGUUGCCGAGCACCAGCAGCGCAUGUGUGCGAUGGUGGCGCGUGGCGGAUCGGAGGGGCACUGCCGCCACGGUGGAACGCAUCCGCGGCAUCUGCGCGCUUCCCUUGUUGCUACUCAUGGGGUCGCAACGGUGCUACGCGGACGCCAUCAUGAGCACCGCACAUGUGCGAUGCGGCACUCUCACCGAAGCAGCAGCGCCCACGAUGACGAGGUGUGCGCCCUCUACGCGCUAGCCGUGAUCCCGUCCGCGGAGGCGCUGCAGUCAGCCCGGUGGGAAACCAGCACAAAGCGGUGCAGCGUUGAGCCGCCGCAGCCGCAUCACACCACCCCCGGCGUGCGCCGCGUCGUCGAGCCGACCCUGUGGACUUUCACGAGCGCACCACAGCAGAUCUGGCUGCGGCUGCCCGAUGGCGUCGACCUUGACCGUCUCUUACGCGAAAACGAUGGUGGCGGCUUUGGUGUGGUCGCUGACGACGUGCCGCUGACGGCGCCGGUGCAGCGCGGUGACCUCGUCACGUUCCGCUGCAGCAGCGGUGGUGAUGGCGCCGGUAGAUCGGCUGGCAUCUCUGCAAGGGCCGCGCAGCAGCAACAGCAGCAGCAGCAGCAGGGCGCGAGGGCAGAAGAACGCCGCCACAGUCCGCAGUUUGUUGUCCAGCAAGUCUUCUCGGAGCGGCGCACGCUACCAUACCUCGUCUGGAAGAGUGCGACGGCAGAAGACAAGGACCUCCAGCAUCAGCCGCCUCCUGCAAGUCUCGUGCUCCCUUACGCUGUGGCAGCAGGCACGCCGGCGUGGACGGUGCCGCACAGGGCAGCGCCUCGGAGCACAAGCGGCGCCACAGACCCACGCCAGGACAGCAUAACACUGCACGCCUGCUGUUUGCCGGUGUCGUACGUGGCGCGCAUGACGUCCGCCCAGCUACACGACCGCCACCCGCUCGACUGGCUGCUGCAGACACGUCGUGCUGCCAAUUCAUCUCCGAGCGCCUCGGAAUCGGGGUUGGCCGACGUGCUCACGACGCUGCAGUGGAGCGCGACGUGGACUGCGCGGUGGGCACAGACGGUGUGGGCAGGCCACCAACCGUGUUGGCUGGAAGAGAGGAUGCGAGCCACCAAUGACAGCAGCGAUGCUUCUCAAGGUCACGGCGACAGCUCACGCGAGUGCAGAACGCAUUCGAGCAGCCGCAGUCCGGAUUGCUGCACCGGAGACGGCGGACGUGACGUUGUACACCUCACAGAUCCUUUCUACACCUUCGAUGACGCCGAUGCAGCCGAUGGGCGCGACAACUUUGCCGUCGAUGGCGGGCGGCGCUCUCUGCGCGUUCUUCGGACAUUGACGAGCGGCGACACUGCACCGCACGAGGCGCAGCGACUCUCUGCCGAGGUGGACUGGCCCUCUCGAGCGGAAGGGUGCAGCGCGGUGGUCACCGCCGAUGUGGUGCUGGGCAGUGCCACUGUCGUGUGAGCGUGCGGCUCGUGGGCGUCAGGUGGGUGGGGCGGGAGGGGGGGGGGCGACAAGGCGACGGAUCGACGCGAGGGAGAGACGAGGCGCUCAAGUACGCGCACGCUCAGGUGUGCACGUACGUGGGUGUGCCCUUUUCCCACUUUCACAAAAAGGCAACGUGGCAACAGGCAGAUACGGGCCGGAUGUGCCACCCUGAGAGGGCGGCGGGCGAGUCCGAGGUACGCAACGACUAGAAAGCAUGGCGCCGGCGAUGCAGGGCCGCUAUGUCUGCGUGUGUGUGUGUGUGUGUGUGUGUGUGUGUGUGUACCUUCUCUCUGU
This 5185-nucleotide unclassified non-coding RNA is filed under the name Leishmania donovani. Its description in RNAcentral is "gene:LdHU3.09.1500(CDS-product:hypothetical_prote in_conserved)". The record is from RNAcentral. Lineage: Eukaryota; Euglenozoa; Kinetoplastea; Trypanosomatida; Trypanosomatidae.